GAUGAACGCUGGCGGCGUGCCUAAUACAUGCAAGUCGAGCGAACAGACGAGGAGCUUGCUCCUCUGACGUUAGCGGCGGACGGGUGAGUAACACGUGGAUAACCUACCUAUAAGACUGGGAUAACUUCGGGAAACCGGAGCUAAUACCGGAUAAUAUAUUGAACCGCAUGGUUCAAUAGUGAAAGACGGUUUUGCUGUCACUUAUAGAUGGAUCCGCGCCGCAUUAGCUAGUUGGUAAGGUAACGGCUUACCAAGGCAACGAUGCGUAGCCGACCUGAGAGGGUGAUCGGCCACACUGGAUCGGAGACACGGUCCAGACUCCUACGGGAGGCAGCAGUAGGGAAUCUUCCGCAAUGGGCGAAAGCUUGACGGAGCAACGCCGCGUGAGUGAUGAAGGUCUUCGGAUCGUAAAACUCUGUUAUUAGGGAAGAACAAAUGUGUAAGUAACUAUGCACGUCUUGACGGUACCUAAUCAGAAAGCCACGGCUAACUACGUG
This 497-nucleotide ribosomal RNA is filed under the name uncultured bacterium. Its description in RNAcentral is "partial 16S ribosomal RNA". It matches the Rfam family "Bacterial small subunit ribosomal RNA", at positions 28 to 507 of the family's 1533-position model. The record is from RNAcentral.